Molecule: ribosomal RNA, 295 nt
Filed under: uncultured bacterium
Lineage: Bacteria
Description: partial 16S ribosomal RNA
Rfam family: Bacterial small subunit ribosomal RNA
Source: RNAcentral
CUAUGCGCCUUGCCAGCCCGCUCAGGUGUGCCAGCCGCCGCGGUAAUACAGAGGUCUCAAGCGUUGUUCGGAAUCACUGGGCGUAAAGCGUGCGUAGGCGGUUUCGUAAGUCGUGUGUGAAAGGCGGGGGCUCAACCCCCGGACUGCACAUGAUACUGCGAGACUAGAGUAAUGGAGGGGAACCGGAAUUCUCGGUGUAGCAGUGAAAUGCGUAGAUAUCGAGAGGAACACUCGUGGCGAAGGCGGGUUCCUGGACAUUGACUGACGCUGAGCACGAAGGCCAGGAGCGAAAGGG